This 75-nucleotide transfer RNA is filed under the name Candidatus Colwellbacteria bacterium RBG_13_48_8. RNAcentral's name for it is "tRNA-Gly". It matches the Rfam family "tRNA". Rfam says of the family: Transfer RNA (tRNA) molecules are approximately 80 nucleotides in length. Their secondary structure includes four short double-helical elements and three loops (D, anti-codon, and T loops). The record is from RNAcentral. Lineage: Bacteria; Candidatus Colwelliibacteriota.
GCGGGUGUCGUAUAGUGGCUAUUAUAUCGCCUUGCCAAGGCGGAGACGGGAGUUCGAUUCUCCUCACCCGCUCCA